GGGGAUAUAGCUCAGGGGUAAAGCGCUCUCUUAGAACGGGAGAGGGCAGGGGUUCAAAUCCCCAUAUCUCCA
This is a non-coding RNA of Ascaris lumbricoides (common roundworm), 72 nucleotides long. Lineage: Eukaryota; Metazoa; Nematoda; Chromadorea; Rhabditida; Ascarididae. The record is from Rfam.